UAACGAAUAUUCCGCAAUGGGCGAAAGCCUGACGGAGCAAUGCCGCGUGCAGGAUGAAGCGCCUUCGGCGUGUAAACUGCUGUCAGGGGAUAGAAACAUUGAUCAUCUCCAGAGGAAGGGGCGACUAACUCUGUGCCAGCAGUCGCGGUAAUACAGAGGCCCCAAGCGUUAGUCGGAAUCACUGGGCUUAAAGGGUGCGUAGGCGGGUCGGUAAGUGCCUUGUGAAAGCCCAUGGCUCAACCAUGGAACCGCAGGGCAUACUGCCAAUCUUGAGGAAACUAGAGGCCGGUGGAACGAUAGGUGGAGCGGUGGAAUGCUUAGAGAUCUAUCGGAACGCCAAUGGUGAAGACAGCCGGCUGGGGUUUUCCUGACGCUGAGGCACGAAAGCGUGGGGAGCAAA
RNAcentral lists this ribosomal RNA (400 nucleotides) under uncultured bacterium. RNAcentral describes it as "bacterial SSU rRNA". It matches the Rfam family "Bacterial small subunit ribosomal RNA", at positions 355 to 772 of the family's 1533-position model. The record is from RNAcentral.